This 205-nucleotide small RNA is filed under the name Methyloceanibacter superfactus. Its description in RNAcentral is "Bradyrhizobiaceae sRNA BjrC174". It matches the Rfam family "Bradyrhizobiaceae sRNA BjrC174". Lineage: Bacteria; Pseudomonadati; Pseudomonadota; Alphaproteobacteria; Hyphomicrobiales; Hyphomicrobiaceae. The record is from Rfam by way of RNAcentral.
AUAACGAAACAUAAGUCACAGUUCCGCCUAAGUUCAGCCCUUGGAAGACCCCAAAACUCGCUAUGAUUAUGCAUGUUGCCUCUCGGCCCGGUCCAACUAGAGAGGCUUCGGAAUCUCAGCCCCCCAGCCCCCCCCGGGGUCUUCUCUCGGACCGGGCCACUCUCCAUGAGGCCACGAAAAAGGGCCGGCGAAAGCCGGCCCUUUU